This 253-nucleotide ribosomal RNA is filed under the name uncultured bacterium. RNAcentral's name for it is "partial 16S ribosomal RNA". It matches the Rfam family "Bacterial small subunit ribosomal RNA", at positions 524 to 776 of the family's 1533-position model. The record is from RNAcentral.
UACGGAGGGAGCUAGCGUUGUUCGGAAUUACUGGGCGUAAAGCGCACGUAGGCGGUUUGUCGCGUCGAAUGUGAAAACCCGGGGCUCAACCCCGGGCCUGCAUUCGAUACGGGCAGACUAGAGUUCGGUAGGGGAGUCUGGAAUUCCUGGUGUAGCGGUGAAAUGCGCAGAUAUCAGGAGGAACACCGGUGGCGAAGGCGGGACUCUGGGCCGAUACUGACGCUGAGGAGCGAAAGCGUGGGGAGCAAACAGG